RNAcentral lists this unclassified non-coding RNA (346 nucleotides) under soil metagenome. Its description in RNAcentral is "partial contains 5.8S ribosomal RNA, internal transcribed spacer 2, and large subunit ribosomal RNA". The stretch from base 1 to 120 matches the Rfam family "5.8S ribosomal RNA", at positions 35 to 154 of the family's 154-position model. The record is from RNAcentral.
GAUGAAGAACGUAGCGAAAUGCGAUACGUAAUGUGAAUUGCAGAAUUCAGUGAAUCAUCGAGUCUUUGAACGCACAUUGCGCCCCCUGGUAUUCCGGGGGGCAUGCCUGUCCGAGCGUCAUUGCUGCCCUCAAGCCCGGCUUGUGUGUUGGGUCUCGUCCCCCUUCCCGGGGGGACGGGCCCGAAAGGCAGCGGCGGCACCGCGUCCGGUCCUCGAGCGUAUGGGGCUUUGUCACCCGCUCUGUAGGCCCGGCCGGCGCUUGCCGAUCAACCAAAACUUUUUUCCAGGUUGACCUCGGAUCAGGUAGUGAUACCCGCUGAACUUAAGCAUAUCAAUAAGCGGUGGA